CAGGUGAUUCCAACUGUUGCAGCAGCAGGGAAAGGAUACUGAAGACUUCAAUCCCAGCAAGUAUCCUUAGGAUCAGAAGGUCGUGGCCACGUAUAAUUAUUCUGUGAAGGGGUCAGAAGUCUCAAUGUUCAGUCCAACAGUGACACUGCUAAGCAUCAUAAUUUGGACCCCACAGAACACUCUUUGUCCCAGCAAAUAAAGAACUAUUGCACACCACAUUGGGCUGCCUUCAGGACCCUGCUCCAAUAUUCAGGUGGGUCUUCAGUCCAGUGCCUGUGCUAUAUACCGGUAUUAAAUAUUUUGACUAUCUCUUGUACACACGUGGUAGAGAAAUGGCUGGCAUGGAAGUUAGGGGAUUUAAGUUGAGUCCUUGAUUAACCUCUGAUAUGGUUUGUUUGUGUCUCCCUUCAAAUCUCAACUUGAAUUGUAUCUCCCAGAGUUGCCACAUGUUGUGAGAGUGACCCAGAGGGAGGUAAUUGAAUCAUGGGGUAUGGUCUUUGCUGUGCUAAUCUUGUGAUAGUGAUUAAGUCUCACGAGAUCUAAUGGGUUUGCCAGGGGUUUCUGCAUUUGCUUCCUCCUCAUUUUCUCUGCUGCCACCAUGGAAGAAGUGCCUUUUGCCUCCCUCCAUGAUUCUCAGGCCUCCCCAGCCAUGUGGAACUGUAAGUCCAAUUAACCCUCAUUUUCUUCCCAGCAAUGUAAAAAUGGACUAAUGUAACCUCUCUGAACCUCAUUUUCUCCCAUUUGCUUAUUUAUUUAAAAAAUUAUUUGGCUGGAUGGGAUGGCUCACACCUGUAAUCCCAACACUUUGGGAGACUGAGGCAGGUGGAUCACUUGAGGCCAGGAAUUUGAGACCAGCCUGGACAGCAUGGUGAAACCCUGUCUCUACUAAAAAUACAAAAAUAAGCUGGGCAUGGUGGUGCAUGUGUGUAAUCCCAGCUACUUGGGAGGCUGAGGUACAAGAAUCACUUGAACCCAGGAAGUGGAGGUUGCAAUGAGCCAAGAUUGUGCCACUGCACUCCAACCCAGGUGACAGAGCAAGACUCUGUCUCCGAAAAAAAAAAAAGAAAAAAAAUUUUUUAGAGACAGUUUUGCUGUGUCACCCAGGCUGAAGUACAAUGGCAAUGAUCAUGGCUCACUGCAGCCUCAAUCUUCUGGACUCAAGCAAUCCUCCCACCUCAGCCUCCUGAGUAGCUGGGACUACAGGGGAUGCACCACCAUGCCCAGCUAAUUAAAAUAUUUUUUUAGCCUACAUUGUCUCUUGGAGAGUCUUGCUAUGUUGCCCAGGCCAGUCUUGAACUCUUGUCCUCAAGUGACCCUCCCACCUUGGCUGGCAUGAGCACUCAGCCAGUUUCUCCCAUUUAUAAAAUAGGAGGUUUGGACUAGAUUAUAGCUAAUGACCUUUUGAGUUCUAUUCUGGGAUUCAGUGAUUUAGAUAGAUCAGAACAUUUUUCAUUUUUAUCUGGAGGUUUUGGUGUCUUACAGAGGGAAAAGAAUGGCUAAAAGGAGUUGGAUAACUUGUUCCAAAAAGCUGGCCAAGCAGUUGGACUUGUCAAGAAAAAAGGCAGUGGAAGCAAAAUAGAGAACACUGUAUAAAAUCCCUGCCCAACUAUGCUGAGAAAACCAUUUGCAAUUCUGAUUCUAAAACCUCUAAAAAAAUUCAUAUUGGAGGUGGACAGUUCCCAGAGAAGGGCAGCUGAGAGAUUGGACAAGCUGGUGAUCUCUUUAUUUGAAGGCAGAUUAAGAUUUGUGAUACUUCUGCUUGGAAAAGCAAAGUUGAAUAAGAGGGUCAAAGACUAGACAUUUUUGAAAGACAUAGAGGGACAAUCACUGACUUACUCAUCAAGCCUUUAUAAUCCUGCACCUGGAAAACAGCUCUUAAAGAUUGAAAGGGCUAAAUUUAGAGUCACGGUCUUCUCUGCACACCGGUAAGUGUGAAGUCUCGGUGAUAAUACUUGUGAGACUUGUUACCCCAAGAAGUCCUAUGAGCUGUUUACACUGAUCCAAAUAAGGUGGAUGCUAGUUUAUGGUGAUGCAUCUAUAAAAACGGAGGGACACUGAUGUUCAGGGCACAUCAGGGAAGGCAGUGCUGAUCUCUUCUAACCCAGUAUAGCCACUCUCCAAGAGAGAAUAUAGGCCAAAAUGACACCUAGGUAUGCUUCCAGAAGGCAUUUAGCUUUUUUUUUCCCCCCCUUUUUCGUUUUUCUUUAUUUUCUUAUUGUUAUCUCAUGGAAGUAAUGAAUGAUCACUUGCAGCAAGAAAAUUUAAACGGUUCAGAAGACUGUGAAAUUAAAAGUAAGUUUGUUCCCCUGCCAACCACUGUUCUUCUUAGAGGUAACCGCAGGAAAAUUUGCCUGUCCAUUUUUAUUUGUACAAAAAUAUAUGUAUGAUCAUAUACAUAUACUUAACUUAAUAUCUUAGGUACCUCUAUAUGAGGACACGUCCACGUAUUUAAUUAUUUUAGUGACUAGAUUCCAUCAUGUAAAUAAGUCAUAAUUUAUUCAACCUACUAAUGAACACUUUGUUUCCAGCAUUUGCCACAUUUGCAAUGUUACAAUGAGUAUUUUUGUAUCUUGUAUAUAUCUUGUACUUGAGUCCACUUGUUUGUUAGGGUGCUUUUAUACAGUGAAGUUUCUGGGAAAAGUAUUGCUACAUUAAAUUAUAUCACAUAAUACAUUUUGAUAAAAUGGCCAAGUUUUUUCACCAACUUAUGCUCUGUUUAUGAGUGUUCCACUUUCCCUAUGCUAUCAUGAUAUGACAAUUUCUAUAUUUCCAUGUCUUUAUGCAUCUCCUCCUGGCUAAGCAAAAAUGUAUUCAGUUAAGUAUAUUACUACACUCCUAAAAGCACAGAUGUUAUGAGGAUAGCAAAGUGAUAUAAAUAAGCUUUGGAACUUGGAGAAAUGCCAUAUAACAAUAUCUCUGUUGGCCAAAUGGAUACAAUCACAUAGAGUUUUCUGAGGAAUUUUAUUCCCAGGUCCCCAAACAGGGUAUUAGAUCUGAAUUUCAUUUUAAAAUUUUAUUCUGUUAUACAUAUCAUUCAUAGAAAAGAGUAUGCCUUGGAAUGUAUAAAGAAUGAACACCUGUGUAGAAUCUUGUUUAUGGCAAUUAAAGGUUGAGUUGACUAAAAUAA
Non-coding RNA from Callithrix jacchus (white-tufted-ear marmoset), 3127 nucleotides. The record is from RefSeq and is a predicted model, not a curated record. Lineage: Eukaryota; Metazoa; Chordata; Mammalia; Primates; Cebidae.